AGUCGUAACAAGGUUUCCGUAGGUGAACCUGCGGAAGGAUCAUUAGUGAAUACUGAGCGUCUCCUUAACGAGAGCUCGACCUCCACUUUCUAACACUGUGCACUAUUUAAUAAGCUUGGUUAACUCUCGCGAGAGACGGUACCUUGCUUAUUUCACCCCUUUACAAACAUGAAGUAAUAGAAUGUAACAAAAGCCAUAACAAAAUAAAA
This 209-nucleotide unclassified non-coding RNA is filed under the name plant metagenome. RNAcentral describes it as "partial contains small subunit ribosomal RNA and internal transcribed spacer 1". The stretch from base 1 to 45 matches the Rfam family "Eukaryotic small subunit ribosomal RNA", at positions 1787 to 1831 of the family's 1831-position model. The record is from RNAcentral.